This 45-nucleotide non-coding RNA is filed under the name Trichobilharzia regenti. Lineage: Eukaryota; Metazoa; Platyhelminthes; Trematoda; Strigeidida; Schistosomatidae. The record is from RNAcentral.
AUCCAGCUGAUGAGUCCCAAACAGAACGAAGUGCGCAUCUUGGAU